GGUGGUCAAAGGAACAUGAUAUGAUUAUCAAAACUGAAAUGCGCAAGGAGGAUAUAUCUAAAAUUGUCGAACAAUCCGAUGUUGUGCUUAGGGAAGGCUGCGACAUGUUAUUUAAAAAUCUAGCGGACAACAGUGUACCAUUGGUUGUGUGUACCGCCGGCAUUGAAGACAUUUCGAGUGCAGUGAUUACAGAUCGAGCUACUCUGUAUGACAAUAUAUCUUUUAUGGGCAACAAAAUGGACUUCGAUGCAAAUG
Molecule: long non-coding RNA, 255 nt
Filed under: Anneissia japonica
Lineage: Eukaryota; Metazoa; Echinodermata; Crinoidea; Comatulida; Comatulidae
Description: uncharacterized LOC117124416
Source: RNAcentral